Molecule: ribosomal RNA, 563 nt
Filed under: uncultured endophytic bacterium
Lineage: Bacteria
Description: bacterial SSU rRNA
Rfam family: Bacterial small subunit ribosomal RNA
Source: RNAcentral
AGAGUUUGAUCCGGCUCAGAUUGAACGCUGGCGGCAGGCCUAACACAUGCAAGUCGAACGGUAGCACAGAGAGCUUGCUCUCGGGUGACGAGUGGCGGACGGGUGAGUAAUGUCUGGGAAACUGCCUGAUGGAGGGGGAUAACUACUGGAAACGGUAGCUAAUACCGCAUAACGUCGCAAGACCAAAGAGGGGGACCUUCGGGCCUCUCACUAUCGGAUGAACCCAGAUGGGAUUAGCUAGUAGGCGGGGUAAUGGCCCACCUAGGCGACGAUCCCUAGCUGGUCUGAGAGGAUGACCAGCCACACUGGAACUGAGACAUGGUCCAGACUCCUACGGGAGGCAGCAGUGGGGAAUAUUGCACAAUGGGCGCAAGCCUGAUGCAGCCAUGCCGCGUGUAUGAAGAAGGCCUUCGGGUUGUAAAGUACUUUCAGCGGGGAGGAAGGCGAUGGGGUUAAUAACCCUGUCGAUUGACGUUACCCGCAGAAGAAGCACCGGCUAACUCCGUGCCAGCAGCCGCGGUAAUAGAGUUUGAUCCUGGCUCAGGCCCAGCAGCCGCGGUAAU